CGUCAGCUCGUGUCGUGAGAUGUUGGGUUAAGUCCCGCAACGAGCGCAACCCUUAUUGCUAGUUACCAUCAUUAAAGUUGGGGGACUCUAGCGAGACUGCCAGUGAUAAACUGGAGGAAGGUGGGGAUGACGUCAAAUCAUCAUGCCCCUUAUGACCUGGGCUACAAACGUGAUACAAUGGCUGAAACAAAGGGCAGCGAAGCAGUGAUGUGGAGCGAAACCCAAAAAAGCAGUCUCAGUUCGGAUUGAAGUCUGCAACUCGACUUCAUGAAGUUGGAAUCGCUAGUAAUCGUAGAUCAGAACGCUACGGUGAAUACGUUCUCGGGGUUU
This 330-nucleotide ribosomal RNA is filed under the name uncultured Acholeplasma sp. Its description in RNAcentral is "bacterial SSU rRNA". It matches the Rfam family "Bacterial small subunit ribosomal RNA", at positions 1053 to 1382 of the family's 1533-position model. The record is from RNAcentral. Lineage: Bacteria; Bacillati; Mycoplasmatota; Mollicutes; Acholeplasmatales; Acholeplasmataceae.